Molecule: long non-coding RNA, 203 nt
Organism: Selaginella moellendorffii
Lineage: Eukaryota; Viridiplantae; Streptophyta; Lycopodiopsida; Selaginellales; Selaginellaceae
Exons: 2
Source: RefSeq, a predicted model, not a curated record
GAGAGAGAGAGAGAGAGAGAGAGAGCAGCCCAGAAGAGCUUCGCAAAUACACUACGUGGAUACAUGAUUGGAGAGAACUGUCGACAUUGAUUGAGCAAGGCGUGGUCUUUAGAUCAACUUACAAGUGUGUACAGAAGCCAAGCAUUAUUGUUUCAACAAGCAGCACCAGAAACUAUAAUAGCAAGAAGCACUCGGAGAAGAAA